AGUGAACGCUGGCGGUAGGCCUAACACAUGCAAGUCGAACGGCAGCACAGUAAGAGCUUGCUCUUACGGGUGGCGAGUGGCGGACGGGUGAGGAAUACAUCGGAAUCUACUUUUUCGUGGGGGAUAACGUAGGGAAACUUACGCUAAUACCGCAUACGACCUACGGGUGAAAGCAGGGGAUCUUCGGACCUUGCGCGAUUGAAUGAGCCGAUGUCGGAUUAGCUAGUUGGCGGGGUAAAGGCCCACCAAGGCGACGAUCCGUAGCUGGUCUGAGAGGAUGAUCAGCGACACGGGAACUGAGACACGGUCCAGACUCCUACGGGAGGCAGCAGUGGGGAAUAUUGGACAAUGGGCGCAAGUCUGAUCCAGCCAUACCGCGUGGGUGAAGAAGGCCUUCGGGUUGUAAAGCCCUUUUGUUGGGAAAGAAAAGCAGCAGGUUAAUACCCCGCUGUUCUGACGGUACCCAAUGAAUAAGCACCGGCUAACUUCGUG
Molecule: ribosomal RNA, 492 nt
Filed under: uncultured bacterium
Lineage: Bacteria
Description: partial 16S ribosomal RNA
Rfam family: Bacterial small subunit ribosomal RNA
Source: RNAcentral